RNAcentral lists this ribosomal RNA (253 nucleotides) under uncultured bacterium. RNAcentral's name for it is "partial 16S ribosomal RNA". It matches the Rfam family "Bacterial small subunit ribosomal RNA", at positions 524 to 776 of the family's 1533-position model. The record is from RNAcentral.
UACGUAGGGGGCAAGCGUUGUCCGGAAUCAUUGGGCGUAAAGCGCGCGUAGGCGGCCCGGUAAGUCCGCUCUGAAAGUCCAGGGCUCAACCCUGGAAAGCGGGUGGAUACUGCCGGGCUAGAAUCCGGAAGAGGCGAGUGGAAUUCCUGGUGUAGCGGUGGAAUGCGUAGAGAUCCGGAAGAACACCAGUGGCGAAGGCGGUCUGCUGGGCAGUUGCUGACACUGAUGCGCGACAGCGUGGGGAGCAAACAGG